GACGAACGCUGGCGGCGCGCCUGACACAUGCAAGUCGAACGGAGUUUCCCCUUCGGGGGAGCUUAGUGGCGGACGGGUGGAGUAACACGUGAGGAACCUGCCUUUGAGAGCGGGAGUACCGUCUGGAAACGGACGUUAAUACCGCAUAAUGCAGCGAGGCCACAUGGCCAUGCUGCCAAAGAUUUAUCGCUCAAAGAUGGCCUCGCGCCUGAUUAGAUAGUUGGCGGGGUAACGGCCCACCAAGUCUGCGAUCAGUAGCCGGACUGAGAGGUCGAACGGCCACAUUGGGACUGAGAUACGGCCCAGACUCCUACGGGAGGCAGCAGUGGGGGAUAUUGCACAAUGGGCGAAAGCCUGAUGCAGCGACGCCGCGUGAGGGAAGACGGUUUUCGGAUUGUAAACCUCUGUCUUCGGGGACGAAACAAGACGGUACCCGAGGAGGAAGCCACGGCUAACUACGUGCCAGCAGCCGCGGUAAUGUCUGUACU
RNAcentral lists this ribosomal RNA (488 nucleotides) under uncultured bacterium. Its description in RNAcentral is "bacterial SSU rRNA". It matches the Rfam family "Bacterial small subunit ribosomal RNA", at positions 28 to 531 of the family's 1533-position model. The record is from RNAcentral.